UACGUGGGGUGCAAGCGUUGUUCGGAAUUACUGGGCGUAAAGCGUGUGUAGGCGGCUCGCUAAGUCUGGUGUGAAAUCCCCAAGCUUAACUUGGGAACUGCAUCGGAAACUGGCGAGCUCGAGUCCGGGAGAGGGUAGCGGAAUUCCUGGUGUAGAGGUGAAAUUCGUAGAUAUCAGGAGGAACACCGGUGGCGAAGGCGGCUACCUGGACCGGUACUGACGCUGAGACACGAAAGCGUGGGGAGCAAACAGG
RNAcentral lists this ribosomal RNA (253 nucleotides) under uncultured bacterium. RNAcentral's name for it is "partial 16S ribosomal RNA". It matches the Rfam family "Bacterial small subunit ribosomal RNA", at positions 524 to 776 of the family's 1533-position model. RNAcentral also lists the same sequence under 1 other name. The record is from RNAcentral.